This 234-nucleotide ribosomal RNA is filed under the name uncultured bacterium. Its description in RNAcentral is "partial 16S ribosomal RNA". It matches the Rfam family "Bacterial small subunit ribosomal RNA", at positions 335 to 561 of the family's 1533-position model. The record is from RNAcentral.
ACUCCUACGGGAGGCAGCAGUGGGAAUAUUGGACAAUGGGGGCAACCCUGAUCCAGCAAUGCCGCGUGUGUGAAGAAGGCCUGCGGGUUGUAAAGCACUUUCGUUGGGGAGGAUGGUGCGCAGUUCAAAUAGGGCUGUGUAUUGACGUUACCCAAAGAAGAAGCACCGGCUAACUCUGUGCCAGCAGCCGCGGUAAUACAGAGGGUGCAAGCGUUAAUCGGACUGACUGGGCGU